RNAcentral lists this ribosomal RNA (253 nucleotides) under uncultured bacterium. Its description in RNAcentral is "partial 16S ribosomal RNA". It matches the Rfam family "Bacterial small subunit ribosomal RNA", at positions 524 to 776 of the family's 1533-position model. The record is from RNAcentral.
UACGUAGGGACCAAGCGUUGUUCGGAAUUACUGGGCGUAAAGCGUGCGUAGGUGGUUCGUUAAGUCUGUCGUGAAAGCCCCGGGCUCAACCUGGGAAUGGCGAUGGAUACUGGCGGGCUAGAGUGCGGUAGAGGAGAGUGGAAUUCCCGGUGUAGCAGUGAAAUGCGUAGAGAUCGGGAGGAACAUCAGUUGCGAAGGCGGCUCUCUGGACCAGCACUGACACUGAGGCACGAAAGCGUGGGGAGCAAACAGG